AUUGAACGCUGGCGGCAUGCCUUACACAUGCAAGUCGAACGGCAGCGGGCCCUUCUGGGUGCCGGCGAGUGGCGAACGGGUGAGUAAUGCAUCGGAACGUACCCGGGAGAGGGGGAUAACCGGCCGAAAGGCUGGCUAAUACCGCAUGAACUCGGAUGCGCAAAGCGGGGGACCUUCAGGCCUCGCGCUCUCGGAGCGGCCGAGGUCCGAUUAGGCUAGUUGGUGGGGUAAAGGCCCACCAAGGCGACGACCGGUAGCGGGUCUGAGAGGACGAUCCGCCGCACGGGGGCUGGGACACGGCCCAGACACCUACGGGAGGCAGCAGUGGGGAAUGUUGGACAAUGGGCGCAAGCCUGAUCCAGCAAGGCCGCGUGGGUGAAGAAGGCCUUCGGGUUGUAAAGCCCUUUCGGCGGGGAAGAAAUCGGUCAGGCGAAUAGUCUGGCCGGAUGACGGUACCCGCUGAAGAAGCACCGGCUAACUACGUG
This 485-nucleotide ribosomal RNA is filed under the name uncultured bacterium. RNAcentral's name for it is "partial 16S ribosomal RNA". It matches the Rfam family "Bacterial small subunit ribosomal RNA", at positions 28 to 507 of the family's 1533-position model. The record is from RNAcentral.